Molecule: long non-coding RNA, 780 nt
Filed under: Callithrix jacchus (white-tufted-ear marmoset)
Lineage: Eukaryota; Metazoa; Chordata; Mammalia; Primates; Cebidae
Description: lncRNA (ENSCJAG00000085857.1)
Source: RNAcentral
CAGCAAGAGAUUAACACUUUUUUUUUUUUUUUUUCUUUUUGGUGUGGCUGUGGCUGAGAUUUCACAAUGCCCUGGAUGGCUUCUUGGUCUGAUUUCACAAAGGGCUUUUCCUAAAUGAUAAAUGGAGGAAUGUCCAAACUCCCAUGUGAAAUUAUCAUUCCUGUAUGUUUCGCAUGUAACCGAGUCUAGUUACUUCAAAAGUUACAGCCGUUGGGCCAGGCGCGGUGGCUCACGCCCGUAAUCCCAACACUUUGGGAGCCGAGGCGGAUGGAUCUCAAGAUCUGGAGAUCGAGACCAUCCUGGCUAACACAGUGAAAUCCUGAAUCUACUCAAAAUACAAAAAAUUAGCUGGGCGUGGUGUUGGGUGCCUGUAGUCCCAGCUACUUGGGAAGCUGAGGCAGGAGAAUCGCUUGAAUCCAGAGGGCAGAGGCUGCAGUGCGCAGAGAUUGCACCACCGUACUCCAGCCUAGGCGACAGAAAAAAAAAAGAACUUUAUGAGUUUCUUGUUGGAAGGACUGUCUUUAAAUUAAAGCAAUUAGAGUUACUUUAUGAGAUUUACCCAAAUAUGAAGAGAAUAUUCAAGUUGACCAGAAGAAAAUAUUCAAUUACUGAAAAAUAUUAAUUACCUCAAUCGGCAAACAUUCUUUAAAUGAAAUUAAAACUCGGGCCGGGCGCGGUGGCUCAGGCCUCCACAUUGGGAGGCCGAGGAGGGUGGAUCACGAGGUGAAGAGAUCGAGACCAUCCUGGUCAACAUGGUGAAACCCCGUCUCUACUAAAAAC